UAAGGAAUAUUGGUCAAUGGACGCAAGUCUGAACCAGCGACGCCGCGUGGGUGAAGAAGGUCUUCGGAUCGUAAAGCCCUUUUCCCACUGAAGAGGAAGGACGGUAGGUGGGGAAGAAGUCUCGGCUAACUACGUGCCAGCAGCCGCGGUAAAACGUAGGAGACAAGCGUUAUCCGGAGUUACUGGGCGUAAAGGGCGUGCAGGUGGCGUCUUAAGUCUGUUGUGAAAGCGCCUGGCUUAACCGGGCGAGGCCAAUGGAGACUGAGAGGCUGGAGGACGGCGGAGGGGUGUGGAAUUCCGGGUGUAGUGGUGAAAUGCGUAGAGAUCCGGAGGAACACCAGAGGCGAAGGCGGCACUCUAAGCCGUACCUGACACUGAGACGCGACAGCACGGGGAGCAAACG
This 403-nucleotide ribosomal RNA is filed under the name uncultured bacterium. RNAcentral describes it as "bacterial SSU rRNA". It matches the Rfam family "Bacterial small subunit ribosomal RNA", at positions 355 to 774 of the family's 1533-position model. The record is from RNAcentral.